This 1018-nucleotide ribosomal RNA is filed under the name Janibacter alkaliphilus. Its description in RNAcentral is "bacterial SSU rRNA". It matches the Rfam family "Bacterial small subunit ribosomal RNA", at positions 67 to 1087 of the family's 1533-position model. The record is from RNAcentral. Lineage: Bacteria; Bacillati; Actinomycetota; Actinomycetes; Micrococcales; Intrasporangiaceae.
CGGUGAAGGACGGAGCUUGCUCUGUCUGGAUCAGUGGCGAACGGGUGAGUAACACGUGAGUAACCUGCCCCAGACUCCGGAAUAAGCGCUGGAAACGGCGUCUAAUACCGGAUACGAGACGGAGAGGCAUCUCUACCGUCUGGAAAGUUCUUCGGUCUGGGAUGGACUCGCGGCCUAUCAGCUUGUUGGUGAGGUAAUGGCUCACCAAGGCAACGACGGGUAGCCGGCCUGAGAGGGCGACCGGCCACACUGGGACUGAGACACGGCCCAGACUCCUACGGGAGGCAGCAGUGGGGAAUAUUGCACAAUGGGCGAAAGCCUGAUGCAGCGACGCCGCGUGAGGGAUGACGGCCUUCGGGUUGUAAACCUCUUUCAGCAGGGAAGAAGCGAAAGUGACGGUACCUGCAGAAGAAGCACCGGCUAACUACGUGCCAGCAGCCGCGGUAAUACGUAGGGUGCGAGCGUUGUCCGGAAUUAUUGGGCGUAAAGAGCUUGUAGGCGGUCUGUCGCGUCUGCUGUGAAAAUCCGGGGCUCAACCCCGGACUUGCAGUGGGUACGGGCAGACUAGAGUGUGGUAGGGGAGACUGGAAUUCCUGGUGUAGCGGUGAAAUGCGCAGAUAUCAGGAGGAACACCGAUGGCGAAGGCAGGUCUCUGGGCCACUACUGACGCUGAGAAGCGAAAGCAUGGGGAGCGAACAGGAUUAGAUACCCUGGUAGUCCAUGCCGUAAACGUUGGGCGCUAGGUGUGGGACUCAUUCCACGAGUUCCGUGCCGCAGCUAACGCAUUAAGCGCCCCGCCUGGGGAGUACGGCCGCAAGGCUAAAACUCAAAGGAAUUGACGGGGGCCCGCACAAGCGGCGGAGCAUGCGGAUUAAUUCGAUGCAACGCGAAGAACCUUACCAAGGCUUGACAUAUACCGGGAAACAUCUAGAAGAUAGAUGCCCCUUUUUGGUCGGUAUACAGGUGGGUGCAUGGUUUGUCGUCAGCUUCGUGUCGUGAAAAUGUUGGGGUUAAGUCC